This 326-nucleotide unclassified non-coding RNA is filed under the name soil metagenome. RNAcentral's name for it is "partial contains 5.8S ribosomal RNA, internal transcribed spacer 2, and large subunit ribosomal RNA". The stretch from base 1 to 120 matches the Rfam family "5.8S ribosomal RNA", at positions 35 to 154 of the family's 154-position model. The record is from RNAcentral.
GAUGAAGAACGCAGUGAAAUGCGAUAAGUAGUGUGAAUUGCAGAAUUUAGUGAAUCAUCGAAUCUUUGAACGCACAUUGCGCCCUAUAGUAUUCUGUAGGGCAUGCCUGUUCGAGCGUUAUUGAGACCUCAAGCUCUGCUUGGAAAUGGGCGCUUGUCUUGCCUUGCAGACUCGCCUUAAAACCAUUGGCAGCUGAUUUACAAUGUUUGGUGCACAGUACAUGAGCCCAAGUGUUGCAAUGAGUGGCCCAAAAGUAUACAAUAGAAGCUUAACCUCGGAUCAGGUAGGGAUACCCGCUGAACUUAAGCAUAUCAAUAAGCGGAGGA